Molecule: ribosomal RNA, 1340 nt
Filed under: uncultured bacterium
Lineage: Bacteria
Description: bacterial SSU rRNA
Rfam family: Bacterial small subunit ribosomal RNA
Source: RNAcentral
GACGAACGCUGGCGGCGUGCUUAACACAUGCAAGUCGAACGGAAAGGCCCCUUCGGGGGUACUCGAGUGGCGAACGGGUGAGUAACACGUGGGUGAUCUGCCCUGCACUUCGGGAUAAGCCUGGGAAACUGGGUCUAAUACCGGAUAGGACCACGGGAUGCAUGUCCUGUGGUGGAAAGCUUUUGCGGUGUGGGAUGGGCCCGCGGCCUAUCAGCUUGUUGGUGGGGUGACGGCCUACCAAGGCGACGACGGGUAGCCGGCCUGAGAGGGUGUCCGGCCACACUGGGACUGAGAUACGGCCCAGACUCCUACGGGAGGCAGCAGUGGGGAAUAUUGCACAAUGGGCGCAAGCCUGAUGCAGCGACGCCGCGUGGGGGAUGACGGCCUUCGGGUUGUAAACCUCUUUCAGCAGGGACGAAGCGCAAGUGACGGUACCUGCAGAAGAAGCACCGGCCAACUACGUGCCAGCAGCCGCGGUAAUACGUAGGGUGCGAGCGUUGUCCGGAAUUACUGGGCGUAAAGAGCUCGUAGGUGGUUUGUCGCGUUGUUCGUGAAAACCGGGGGCUUAACCCUCGGCGUGCGGGCGAUACGGGCAGACUGGAGUAUUGCAGGGGAGACUGGAAUUCCUGGUGUAGCGGUGGAAUGCGCAGAUAUCAGGAGGAACACCGGUGGCGAAGGCGGGUCUCUGGGCAGUAACUGACGCUGAGGAGCGAAAGCGUGGGGAGCGAACAGGAUUAGAUACCCUGGUAGUCCACGCCGUAAACGGUGGGUACUAGGUGUGGGUUUCCUUCCUUGGGAUCCGUGCCGUAGCUAACGCAUUAAGUACCCCGCCUGGGGAGUACGGCCGCAAGGCUAAAACUCAAAGGAAUUGACGGGGGCCCGCACAAGCGGCGGAGCAUGUGGAUUAAUUCGAUGCAACGCGAAGAACCUUACCUGGGUUUGACAUGCACAGGACGCCGGCAGAGAUGUCGGUUCCCUUGUGGCCUGUGUGCAGGUGGUGCAUGGCUGUCGUCAGCUCGUGUCGUGAGAUGUUGGGUUAAGUCCCGCAACGAGCGCAACCCUUGUCUCAUGUUGCCAGCGGGUAAUGCCGGGGACUCGUGAGAGACUGCCGGGGUCAACUCGGAGGAAGGUGGGGAUGACGUCAAGUCAUCAUGCCCCUUAUGUCCAGGGCUUCACACAUGCUACAAUGGCCGGUACAAAGGGCUGCGAUGCCGCGAGGCUUAGCGAAUCCUUUUAAAGCCGGUCUCAGUUCGGAUCGGGGUCUGCAACUCGACCCCGUGAAGUCGGAGUCGCUAGUAAUCGCAGAUCAGCAACGCUGCGGUGAAUACGUUCCCGGGCCU